This is a long non-coding RNA of Notolabrus celidotus (New Zealand spotty), 781 nucleotides long. RefSeq lists it as uncharacterized. The record is from RefSeq and is a predicted model, not a curated record. Lineage: Eukaryota; Metazoa; Chordata; Actinopteri; Labriformes; Labridae. The transcript has 2 exons.
AAAACCCUCAUUUCAGCUUCUGUCUGAACCACUUAAUUUCAGGACCAUAUUUUAAAGCCCCCCCCUUACAAGCCCUCUUUCUUGCAAUUGGCUGGCCCUCUGGAAGCUUCUCCACUGUUGCCAUGCUACAAAAUCAUCAUCACCGAGUUAACCCGUGUUUCUCUUUUCAAAAUGACAAACUAUGAAAUACGGCUUUAUGUUUUUGACCCAAAUCUGACCCUGAAGUUUGGAAAAGGAGCAACAAGAUAAUCUCCAGCAACAAAGAACAGAGCAGAACGCUUCUGUUCGAGCAUUUGACAUCUGGGUGUCGUCAUCAGAAGUGGAGCUCUGGACUAAUAGGCCAUGUUCAAACACAUUGACAUGAGCUUUUACCCUAAAAGCAGAGAGAAGAGUGUAGCAGACUUGCUCUGGGAAUAGAGCUCUUGUUGUGCAUUUAAGACUUCUGCAGGAGACACAUACAAUGUUCCACAAUCUCAAACAACAUCUGUUGUUGUACACAUGAUAACAACUUCCAGCAUGUGUGUACGGUCCUGGUAAUAACAGUGCAAAGAUGACAUCAGCCGCUUCUGUCAACCAAUCGUGUCAUUGCAUGCAACACGGAUACAAUAUCAUGUCUGUGUCAGUUUCAGAGUUAGGGCUCCGCAAACUGACUAUCAAGAACAUAUUGACUCUACUAACGGAUGUUAGCUAAGCCCCUUCACACACUCGCCCACACAGCCUUUUGGGACAACAGACAAUCCUUUACAAAAGGCCAGACUAAUAAACUUCUCUUUCCCCCCAG